AUUAUCACAUUUAGGUAAUUUCUGAUACCAUUUCCUUUUUUCUCUUUACUGCCUUUUGUACUUCCUCAUUCUACUACCAUCUCUCUAUAUACACAUAGAUCAUUUAACUUCAUAUAUAAUAAGCUGCAAAAAGUUACAGAGUGAUGUGAUUCUCCAACUCUUCCAUUGCCCAACUGAUCAAAGUGGCUGUUGAACCACAAUUAGACUGCAGGUUGGUGGGGCAUUUAUUUGAGAUUGAUUCAUAAAUUAUGAAGGGAGAUCAAUAAGAAUAAUGAACCCAUUCAUCAAUUUUUAUUUAAUUGGAAUUACAAUCAAACUUUCAAUUACAUAUAUAAUUUUUAUUCCACAAGUUCCAAAGGAAAAAGACCGUUUAUGUAUUUCGAAUUACUGAUUUAUCGUUCAUUUAAGAUAAUAUAUCAUAUUUGUUGUUUAUCCAAUUGUAGGAGUUCGAGUGACCACCUUAUUUUCAUCCACCCAAACCCAGACCCUGUCACACCUGAAGUCCCCAGUCACAGGUGUUCCACCUUGAUCACUAUUGCAUCCACGUUGUUUUUGUUCUCUUUCUUUGUGGUAGCCGCUGCAGAGUCCCCGUCUGCCCCAAGGAGCUCCGGCCAUGAAUCACUGAAGGCAAAAAAUAUAUAUAUAUGAUUAAAGAGGACUUGCAUAUACUUGUGCCGACGCUGACUUGCCAUUCUCCUCUCGAUCUAGUUUUCAAUGAAAUCUGUAGAUUGAAUGUUAAUGGUUUGGCUUUGCGUGGGGGU
Molecule: unclassified non-coding RNA, 761 nt
Filed under: Hevea brasiliensis (rubber tree)
Lineage: Eukaryota; Viridiplantae; Streptophyta; Magnoliopsida; Malpighiales; Euphorbiaceae
Source: RNAcentral